RNAcentral lists this ribosomal RNA (421 nucleotides) under uncultured archaeon. RNAcentral's name for it is "bacterial SSU rRNA". It matches the Rfam family "Archaeal small subunit ribosomal RNA", at positions 458 to 880 of the family's 1478-position model. The record is from RNAcentral.
UCAGCCGCCGCGGUAAAACCAGCACCUCGAGUGGUCAGGAGGUUUAUUGGGCCUAAAGCAUCCGUAGCCGGUUGCAUAAGUUUUCGGUUAAAUCUAUGCGCUUAACGUAUAGGCCGCCGAAAAUACUGUGCAGCUAGGGAGUGGGAGAGGUACACGGUACUCGAUAGGAAGGGGUAAAAUCCUUUGAUCUAUUGAUGACCACCUGUGGCGAAGGCGGUGUACCAGAACACGUUCGACGGUGAGGGAUGAAAGCUGGGGGAGCAAACCGGAUUAGAUACCCGGGUAGUCCAGCUGUAAACGAUGCAGACUCGGUGAUGCAUUGGCUUGUGGCCAAUGCAGUGCCGCAGGGAAGCCGUUAAGUCUGCCGCCUGGGAAGUACGUACGCAAGUAUGAAACUUAGAGGAAUUGGCGGGGGAGCACA